Molecule: ribosomal RNA, 496 nt
Filed under: uncultured bacterium
Lineage: Bacteria
Description: partial 16S ribosomal RNA
Rfam family: Bacterial small subunit ribosomal RNA
Source: RNAcentral
ACGAACGCUGGCGGCGUGCCUAAUACAUGCAAGGUGAGCGCUUAAGGUUGGUACUUGUACCAACUGGAUGAGCAGCGAACGGGUGAGUAACGCGUGGGGAAUCUGCCUUUGAGCGGGGGACAACAUUUGGAAACGAAUGCUAAUACCGCAUAAAAACUUUAAACACAAGUUUUAAGUUUGAAAGAUGCAAUUGCAUCACUCAAAGAUGAUCCCGCGUUGUAUUAGCUAGUUGGUGAGGUAAAGGCUCACCAAGGCGAUGAUACAUAGCCGACCUGAGAGGGUGAUCGGCCACAUUGGGACUGAGACACGGCCCAAACUCCUACGGGAGGCAGCAGUAGGGAAUCUUCGGCAAUGGACGAAAGUCUGACCGAGCAACGCCGCGUGAGUGAAGAAGGUUUUCGGAUCGUAAAACUCUGUUGGUAGAGAAGAACGUUGGUGAGAGUGGAAAGCUCAUCAAGUGACGGUAACUACCCAGAAAGGGACGGCUAACUACGUG